This 733-nucleotide ribosomal RNA is filed under the name Oceanibaculum sp. Its description in RNAcentral is "bacterial SSU rRNA". It matches the Rfam family "Bacterial small subunit ribosomal RNA", at positions 31 to 808 of the family's 1533-position model. The record is from RNAcentral. Lineage: Bacteria; Pseudomonadati; Pseudomonadota; Alphaproteobacteria; Rhodospirillales; Oceanibaculaceae.
GAACGCUGGCGGCRUGCUUAACACAUGCAAGUCGAACGAUCCCUUCGGGGAUAGUGGCGGACGGGUGAGUAACGCGUGGGAACCUGCCCCGAGGUACGGAAUAACCCAGGGAAACUUGGGCUAAUACCGUAUGUGACCUGAGGGUGAAAGAUUUAUCGCCUUGGGAGGGGCCCGCGUCGGAUUAGGUAGUUGGUGGGGUAAUGGCCUACCAAGCCUGCGAUCCGUAGCUGGUCUGAGAGGAUGAUCAGCCACACUGGAACUUAGACACGGUCCAGACUCCUACGGGAGGCAGCAGUGGGGAAUAUUGGACAAUGGGGGCAACCCUGAUCCAGCAAUGCCGCGUGCGUGAUGAAGGCCUUAGGGUUGUAAAGCGCUUUCGGCGGGGAAGAUGAUGACGGUACCCGCAGAAGAAGCCCCGGCUAACUCCGUGCCAGCAGCCGCGGUAAUACGGAGGGGGCUAGCGUUGUUCGGAAUUACUGGGCGUAAAGGGCGCGUAGGCGGCGAUUUAAGUUAGGCGUGAAAGCCCCGGGCUUAACCUGGGAACUGCGCUUGAUACUGGAUUGCUUGAGGACGGGAGAGGGUAGUGGAAUUCCCAGUGUAGAGGUGAAAUUCGUAGAUAUUGGGAAGAACACCAGUGGCGAAGGCGACUGCCUGGCCCGUUUACUGACGCUGAGGCGCGAAAGCGUGGGGGAGCAAACAGGAUUAGAUACCCUGGUAGUCCMCSCCGUAAACG